This 253-nucleotide ribosomal RNA is filed under the name uncultured bacterium. RNAcentral's name for it is "partial 16S ribosomal RNA". It matches the Rfam family "Bacterial small subunit ribosomal RNA", at positions 524 to 776 of the family's 1533-position model. The record is from RNAcentral.
UACGGGGGGGGCAAGCGUUGUUCGGAAUUACUGGGCGUAAAGGGCUCGUAGGCGGCCAACUAAGUCGGACGUGAAAUCCCCAGGCUCAACCUGGGAACUGCGUCUGAUACUGGAUGGCUUGAAUCCGGGAGAGGGAUGCAGAAUUCCAGGUGUAGCGGUGAAAUGCGUAGAUAUCUGGAGGAAUACCGGUGGCGAAGGCGGCAUCCUGGACCGGCAUUGACGCUGAGGAGCGAAAGCCAGGGUAGCAAACGGG